RNAcentral lists this transfer RNA (73 nucleotides) under Felis catus (domestic cat). It matches the Rfam family "tRNA". Rfam says of the family: Transfer RNA (tRNA) molecules are approximately 80 nucleotides in length. Their secondary structure includes four short double-helical elements and three loops (D, anti-codon, and T loops). Lineage: Eukaryota; Metazoa; Chordata; Mammalia; Carnivora; Felidae. The record is from Rfam by way of RNAcentral.
ACCUGGCUGGCUCAAUUGGUAGAGCAGGUGACUCUUAAUCUCAGGGUCAUGAGUUCAAACCCCACGUUGGGCA